This is a long non-coding RNA of Astatotilapia calliptera (eastern happy), 933 nucleotides long. Lineage: Eukaryota; Metazoa; Chordata; Actinopteri; Cichliformes; Cichlidae. The record is from Ensembl.
GGAUCCACAUGUGACAUCAACACAUCAAAGUCAGAUACUGCAGUGUACUGGUGUGAGUCUGGAUCAGGAGAGUUCAGCAGUGCAGUCAACAUCACUGUACAGAAUGAUGGUAAUGGUCCUAUCCUGGUGAGUCCUGUUCAUCCUGUGACUGAGGGAGCUUCUGUUAGUCUGAGCUGCAGUUUGAGAACACAACAAAUACUUUCCAAUGUGUUUUUCUAUCACAAUGACAAACUUAUUGAAAAUGAUCCCCGAGGGGAGCUGAAGAUCUCUGCAGUGUCAAAGUCUGAUGAAGGUUUCUACAAGUGUCAGUACUCAGGAAGAGAGUCAGCACAGAGCUGGAUGUCAGUUAAAGGAGCUGACAGCUCUUCAUCUCCUGUGUGGUUGAUGGUUGGACUGGUUUGUGGAGUCGCUCUCAUUAUUAUUCUCCUGCUCUUGUUGUAUCGCUGCAGAAGAACCAACAGUACUGCUAAUGAGCAGACGCUCAAUCAGGAUGGUCAGCAGCAACCAUCCUCUCUUCUUCAUGGUGUUCGUUCUGUCUAUGAGACAGUCAGAAGAUGUGAAAACACUGAAAAUGAAGGUGAUUACAUCAAUGUCACAUCAGUGAUUCAGCUCAGAGUCAUUAACAAGACAAGCAACGCAGAGCAGACCUCUGACUACAAUAAUGUCAAUCCAAUCCAUUGAGGGGCGGGGCCAUCUGCUGCGACCGGUUGGGGUGAGAGAAGGAAGACAGGAUUAAAGACAUGCUGUGGAAGAGAGACAGAGGUUAAUAACAGAUAUGAUUCAAUGCAGAGAGGUCUAUUAAUACAUAGUGAGUGAGAAAGGUGACUGGAAAGGAAAAACUCAAUGCAUCAUGGGAAUCCCCUGGCAGCCUACGUCUAUUGCAGCAUAACUAAGGGAGGAUUCAGGGUCACCUGGUCCAGCCCUAACUAUAUG